UACUAGAGACAAGAGGAAAAAGGAAGUAUGGGAAAUAAGAUGAAGUUGUAUUCUAUAAGAUGUCUCUUUGUUUUCUUUUGUUUUGUUACAACUUUC
Molecule: non-coding RNA, 96 nt
Filed under: Fragilariopsis kerguelensis
Lineage: Eukaryota; Bacillariophyta; Bacillariophyceae; Bacillariales; Bacillariaceae
Source: RNAcentral